This 113-nucleotide ribosomal RNA is filed under the name Acanthosepion pharaonis. Lineage: Eukaryota; Metazoa; Mollusca; Cephalopoda; Sepiida; Sepiidae. The record is from RNAcentral.
UUAUGGCCAUAUCAUGUUGAAACACCGGUUUUCGUACGAUCACCGAAGUUGAGCAAUAUCGACCCUGGUCAGUACAUAGAUAGGUGACCGCUUGGAAAUACCAAUUGCUGAAA